CUCGACCCACUCACUGUCCAAGCAGUGGUGGGGUCAGUGUGAUCAAGUGGGGUCCACAUCAAUUAACAGCUACUUCUGUCGGAAUAGUAUGGUUUCGAUUAGAUGUCCAACUGGAUCGGAUCCUCACCUAGCGGUUACGACGCCCGUUACCUUUACCUAUAUAUUCCUUCUUUUGCCAUCGCGCCCUCGCUCCUCGAUCAGGCAGGUUCCACUAGGGUUCGAAGAGGCAGAGUGAGUCGAUUGGUGGAGUUCUUGCUGCGGCGACGAGCGGCGCGGCCGCUUCGGUAUGGGAGGGUGUGGACCGGCGAUGGACGUCGAGGCGAUUCUUGGGAAGGUCACCGACCGACGAGGGUUCGGAGACGCCUUCGCGGCCGAGGUUUGCUCGGAAACGAGCACUGCUUGUUCCAGUAUGCUUGUAGAACCAGUAUACGGACUGCAACUGCGAUGCCACUAGUUUGUUUCAUGCAAAGAUGGGUUCUCCAGAGUUCUAAGAUGUGUCUGUGUGUGUUUGUGGGUCAUAGCUUUGGAGGCAUUUGAACAUUGUCCCUCUUACUAUUGGUUGCGACUUGCAUGUAGAUUAUGUUAUGAAUGUGCAUCUGCUCUCAGAAGUGCCCUUUACAGUUUUCAUAGCUGUGACAAAACAUUUUGCCAUGUUACCAUCUAACUUGGGCUUUCAGGAGUUUGUGGAUAUAUGCCAAGAUUUGAUACAGUUGCAGGGAUAUAGUUGAUACUUAUCUAUAAAUUGAAGGUAUGAUACACUGGUAACGCUUUCAUCAUUUUGUGUAUUAGUGAUAAUUUAGAAUUAUCUAUAAAUUUAGAAUCAUUUUGUGAUUGUGUAUUAGUGAUACUUAUCUAAUACACUUGAGUAUUAGUGAUGAUUUAGAAUCAUCUACCAGUAAUGCUCUCAUCAUUUUGUGGAAAUCGAUUACAGCUCUUUCUCUUUCUUGUUAUCUGAAUACAUCAUUGGUAGCAAAGAGCAGUCAGCACGUGCUUACUCUGCCCUACAUGUAUGUAUGUUAUGUCUGAAAGUGUACUAAACACAACUCAACGCCCAUUUAUAUGUUGAUUUAUCUAAUGCAUAGUUCUUUUGGCUA
This is a long non-coding RNA of Musa acuminata AAA Group (dessert banana), 1094 nucleotides long. RefSeq lists it as uncharacterized. The transcript is spliced from 2 exons. The record is from RefSeq and is a predicted model, not a curated record. NCBI's taxonomy places the organism in Eukaryota, Viridiplantae, Streptophyta, Magnoliopsida, Zingiberales, Musaceae.